Molecule: ribosomal RNA, 833 nt
Filed under: uncultured bacterium
Lineage: Bacteria
Description: bacterial SSU rRNA
Rfam family: Bacterial small subunit ribosomal RNA
Source: RNAcentral
GUCGAGGGGCAUCGGGAGGGAAGCUUGCUUUCCUUGCCGGCGACCGGCGCACGGGUGAGUAACACGUAUGCAACCUGCCCUCUUCAGGGGGACAACCUUCCGAAAGGGAGGCUAAUCCCGCGUAUAUCGGUUUCGGGCAUCCGAGAUCGAGGAAAGAUUCAUCGGAAGAGGAUGGGCAUGCGGCGCAUUAGCUAGACGGCGGGGUAACGGCCCACCGUGGCGACGAUGCGUAGGGGUUCUGAGAGGAAGGUCCCCCACACUGGUACUGAGACACGGACCAGACUCCUACGGGAGGCAGCAGUGAGGAAUAUUGGUCAAUGGGAGAGAUCCUGAACCAGCCAAGCCGCGUGAGGGAAGACGGCCCUAUGGGUUGUAAACCUCUUUUGUCGGAGAACAAAACCCGGGACGAGUCCCGGACUGCGUGUAUCCGAAGAAAAAGCAUCGGCUAACUCCGUGCCAGCAGCCGCGGUAAUACGGAGGAUGCGAGCGUUAUCCGGAUUUAUUGGGUUUAAAGGGUGCGUAGGCGGUCCGUUAAGUCAGCGGUAAAAUUGCGGGGCUCAACCCCGUCGAGCCGUUGAAACUGGCAGACUUGAGUUGGCGAGAAGUACGCGGAAUGCGCGGUGUAGCGGUGAAAUGCAUAGAUAUCGCGCAGAACUCCGAUUGCGAAGGCAGCGUACCGGCGCCAGACUGACGCUGAGGCACGAAAGCGUGGGGAUCGAACAGGAUUAGAUACCCUGGUAGUCCACGCAGUAAACGAUGAAUGCUGGUUGUCCGGGUCGAAUGAGACCUGNGCGGCGAAGCGAAAGCGAUAAGCAUUNCACCUGGGGAGUACG